This 924-nucleotide long non-coding RNA is filed under the name Arabidopsis lyrata. RNAcentral describes it as "long non-coding RNA (ALYR_LNC000918)". Lineage: Eukaryota; Viridiplantae; Streptophyta; Magnoliopsida; Brassicales; Brassicaceae. The record is from RNAcentral.
AGUAUUUGUGAAUUGUGUUUAUAUAUAAAGACAUGUUUGGGUGUGUUCGGGAUAAUAUGUUCGAAAUGUUAGACAUGAAUGAAAAAGGAGACUCAUCAACCUCACUAUCUUUCAUCACCACAACAUAUGUUAUGGUCGAUGAUCUUUCAUCAUAUUCAAUAAUCUCGUGGAGUCAGAGCGGCAAGAGUUUCAUCAUUUGGAAUCCGGAAGAGUUUUCCAGCAAUCUCCUACAAAGAUUCUUCAAGACCAACAGUUUAGAUUUAUUCUUCUUUAACCUUGAAAUACAUGUAAGUUGCUGAUACGUUUAUUUUUGUAAGUUGUCAUCAUAUUCUGUAAGAUAGUUUUAUUGUCUUUAAACUCUGAAUUUUUUUUUUGCUAGUGCUUUAGAAAAAUCGACUCUAGAAAAUGGGACUUCGCAAAUGAUAAUUUUGUGCGAGAUCAACCUCACCUCAUAAACAACAUUAUAAGCUUCAUGAUAGAAGAAAGGGAUCAGCUAGACCGAAAAAUGGAUAUGAUAAAGGCGGAACGUUUAUUUACCAUGCAAGUUAAAGAAGUAGAGGAUCAGUUGCAACCUAAUAGGUGUUAUCCAAACGAACAACAUUCUUUCCUAACCAAAGCAUAUGAGAUGGUGGAUGAUCCCUCGUCGGAUAAAAUUGUAUCAUGGAGCCAAAGCGGCAAGAGUUUCAUCAUUUGGAAUCCUUAAGUCGAAUUCUAAAUACUUUAAACAAAACUCAUAACUUCAAAUCUUAUAGAACUCGGACAAACUGGUGAAGAAGAAACUCCACUAAGCAUGACUAAAACAUAUCUAUUAGGAUGUGGCCAUAUGAUUUGAAAAUAUAUCAAUUUUAUUAACUCGCAUGAUCGUGACACAUGUCAGGUCUAUUGAUCGGAUUUUAACAUGUGUAAAAAUUAUAAUAAUAUAAC